AGAGUUUGAUCCUGGCUCAGGACGAACGCUGGCGGCGUGCUUAACACAUGCAAGUCGAACGGAAAGGCCUCUUCGGAGGUACUCGAGUGGCGAACGGGUGAGUAACACGUGGGCAAUCUGCCUGCACUUCGGGAUAAGCCUGGGAAACUGGGUCUAAUACCGGAUAGGACCUCAAGACGCAUGUCUUCUGGUGGAAAGCU
This 200-nucleotide ribosomal RNA is filed under the name uncultured bacterium. RNAcentral's name for it is "partial 16S ribosomal RNA". It matches the Rfam family "Bacterial small subunit ribosomal RNA", at positions 8 to 209 of the family's 1533-position model. The record is from RNAcentral.